CUGAAACCGUUUUCCGGUCAAGUGUCGAUCUCCCGUCAGGGCGGAACAAAUCUCAAAGUAAAUGUCCGCUUUCUGAUUUAUUUCCAUUUCCCUCCGAGGAAAGUUGGGGCGUUUGUGAAGCAUCUCCUGCGGCCAGAGUCUGAUGUAUCUCUGAGAGUUCUCUGCAGUUCCUUGCAGUCAUGGGCAGAGCAGUAGCCAUACGAAGGUGUGAAGUAUCGACAAGAAGCUCAGAGACCUCGGCCUUCACCCUGCCUUGUGCAGCUGGAUCCUGGUCUUCCUGUCAGAUCGCCGGCAGGUGACAUGGUUCUUAAAGGCACAGUCCAUAAUCACAGGAGAGAGAGACCCUCGAAGCAGCCUCCGAGAGAGAGUGAAACCCACGUGUGGAACCAAAGCAGAUGGCGGAGAUCUAUUUACUCAGGAAAUGGACAAAGGGUCUAUGGGAGUGUGGAAAAGUGGCAUUAAAAUCCUAGACAUGUACAGUUUAAAGAAGAGAAGUUACUUUGCUGUUCAACUUCGAACAUAGAAACCUACAGCAUAUUCCAGGUUAUUCAGCCUAAAGUGUUGUGCCAACCAUGUAACUUACUCUAGUAACUGCCCAGAAUUUCCCUAGCGCAUAGCCCUCUAUUUUCCUAAGCUCUAUGUACCUAUCUAAGAGGCUGUUAAAAGACCCUAUUGUAUCUGCCUCGACCACUGCUGCCGGCAGUGGAUUGCACGCACCCACUGAGACUGUCUGAGGUCUGAACAACAUCUGACUGGUGUCAAGAAAACAAACUCUCCCUCAUUGUCACAAAAACGAAGGAGCUCAUUGUGGAUGACAGGAGGAUUGGAGACAGGCUAACCCCUAUUGGCAUCAAUAGAUCUGGGGUUCAAAGGGUGAACAGCUUUACGUUCUUUGGUAUAAACAUCACCAAGAUUUCACUUUGUCUGCACAUACUGGCUAAUUUGUGAGAAAAGCAAAACAGCACCUCUUUCACUUCAGAUGGGUGAAGAAGUUUAGGAUGGGACCCCAAAUCCUAAGAACUUUCUACAGGGACACAAUUGAAAGCAUCCUGACCAGCUGCAUCACUGCCUGAUAUGGGAACUGUACUUCGCUUAAUCGCAGGAACCUACAGAGAGUGGUGCAGACAGCCCAGCAUAUCUGUAGAUGUGAACUUCCCACUAUUCAGGACAUUUACAAAGACAGGUGUGUACAAGGGGCCAAAAGGAUUUUGGGGACCCAAUUCAGCACAAACACCAACUGUUCCUGCUGCUGCCAUCCAGGAAAUGGUACCACAGCAAAAGGACCAACAGGCUCCGGAACAUCAUCUUCCACCAGGCCAUCAGACUGAUUAAUUCAUGCUGAUACAAUUGCACUUUCAUGUUGUAUUGACUGUCUGAUAUACAAACUAUUUAUUAUUAAUUAACAUUGCACAUUUAGAUGGAGAUGUAACGUAAAGGUUUCUACUAUUCAUGUAUAUGAAGGAUGCACAUAAUAAAGUCAAUUCAAUUCAAUCUCUCCACUAUCUGUUCUGUCAUUCUGCCUCCUAUUCCCCUUACAAUUUACAUCACCCUCUUCCACACUAGCUCUAGCAAGCCUCACUGCUAGAAUAUUAGACCCUUUCCUGUUCUGCUUCCAUAACUCACCAAUCCCCUCUCACCCCUUUGACUUUCCUCGGCCAGGCAAUUCCCCUCAAAUGUUUCUAAAGCGGUCCACCUGUUGUUAUGGGGGAUGGCCACAAGAGUACUCUGCGAUGGCUAUUUAACCUCAUUUCCCUUCCUGACUCUCACCCAAUUUCCUGUGUCCUGCACCUUGUGUGUAACUCACCUCUCUUCAUGUCAUAUCUAUCAUGCCCUCCAGCUGCUGGAUGAUCCAGAAUUCAUCCAUUUCAAGUUCCAACUCCUUCAAGUGCAGGGUUACAAGCUGCAGCUGGAUGCACAUCUUGUCGGUGAGGGUGUCAGGGACACUGGAGGUCUCCCCACCUUCCCACCAAUGUCCCCUCUAAUUUGUAAUAACCAGUGUGCAUGUAAAUCUUGUACUGUGCAAUUUUAGCCAGUGACAACAUGAGCACAGUGAAUUUUAUAUGGAGAGGCAUUCAGAUUAACAGCUAGCAAAUCACUGUUGAUAGGAACUUUGACCUCCUCUGAGUCCGAUCGAGUUCAUCUGCACUCUCACGCAACCGGUUUAGCAGGCCUGGAACGGGUUGUUACGAAGAAUGAACAGCUCUGAUGGGCAGAAGGGUGCAGGGUUGCCCAUGUCCCCCUCCCCUGGGAGAAUUACAAACCGUUACUGUGGCCAGGCUGUUAAUGAGAGAGAAAGAGAUGGAACAAAACAUAUUGGGACUGGAACAUUUGCUUCAGACAAGGGCGAGAUAACACCAGGGGGAGAGAGACCAUAUUAUGACUCCUGUAAGACUCACGGCUCCAGAGAGGGCUGUUUACUUGGUACUAUUCUGUUCAUUAAAAUUCCUCAGUGGACAGCCGGAGUGGGCUGGUUUGAUGGGCUAAGCCAUUCAAAACUGAUUGACACCUGAGACCCCGUGAGAGGUCUGGGGAGACACCCC
Long non-coding RNA from Hypanus sabinus (Atlantic stingray), 2540 nucleotides. RefSeq lists it as uncharacterized. The transcript has 4 exons. NCBI's taxonomy places the organism in Eukaryota, Metazoa, Chordata, Chondrichthyes, Myliobatiformes, Dasyatidae. The record is from RefSeq and is a predicted model, not a curated record.